Molecule: ribosomal RNA, 2815 nt
Filed under: marine metagenome
Description: bacterial LSU rRNA
Rfam family: Archaeal large subunit ribosomal RNA
Source: RNAcentral
AUACUGUUAGACGGAUAGCUUGGUUUUGGUUCUUUUAAGACGUGGCAAGCUGCGAUAAGCUUAGGGGAGUUGCAUGCAAGCUUUGAUCCUAAGAUUUCUUAACAUGUAGAGAUACAUAAUUACGUCGUGAAUUGAAACAUCUUAGUAACGACAGGAAAAGAAAAUAAAUAAUUAUUCCCUUAUUAGCAGCGAGCGAAAAGGGAACAGGGCAAACUGAAUCUGUUUUUGAAAAAAAAUUAGAAAUGUGGUGAAGAUAAGUAACUAAGUUAAUAAAUCAAAAUUUUCUGGAAAGAAAUACUUUAGAGGGUGAUAGUCCCGUAGAUGAAAUUGAUAUGUUGCUCUUCAAAAGAGUAGGGCUUCCUGGAUUGGAGGUCUGAAUAUGGCAGGAUUAACUGCUAACCCUAAAUAAAACCAAAGUCCGAUAGCGCACUAGUACCGUGAGGGAAAGCUGAAAAGUACUCUUAACAGAGGGUUAAAAGACUUGAAAUCUAAUAGUUACAGUUUGUUACUGGUCUUAACAUUUUAUGUUAAUAGAUUUGUAACGUACGUUUUGAAGAACGGGCCAGGGAGUUUUUCUAUAUGGCGAGGCUAACUAAUUUUAUUAGGUAACCGAAGCAAAAGCAAGUCUGAAAAGGCGUUAGUCAUAUGGAUAAGACCUGAAGCCAGAUGAUCUAUUCAUGGACAAGGUGAAGUCUUUCGAAAGAGAGAUGGAAGCCUGAACCGUUGUUGUGUACAUGCACUCGAAUGAUCUGUGAAUAGGGGUGAAAAGCUUAUCUAAUUUGGCGAUGGCUGGUUCCUGCUGAAAUAUGCCUUCGUAUAGUCUUGUUUAGUUAGUUAACGGUGUAAAGUACGGAUAAAACUCGCAGGAGCUAAUGCUUACGGAGUUUUUUCCAACUCAGAAAUUGUUAAUUGCUUAGAACAAGAAACAGGGUCAGUAUGUAAGAUACUGUUCCGAGAGUGGAAUAACACAGACUAAAGUUAAGGUCCUAAAAUUUAUGCUAAGUGUAUCGAAAGGUGUCUUGAACCUGAGACACUGGGGAUGUAAGCUUAGAAGCAGCUAUCAUUUAAAGAAAUCGUAACAGAUCACCUAUUGAGGUCCAAGGCCCUGAAAAUGGACAGGGCUAAAGCAUAAUACCGAUACUUUAGAGGCACUUAUAAAAGUGUUCUGGUAAGCAGGCGUGUAAAUUGUACAGAAUUUCUUUCUAAAGAAAGAAUGGAACGAUUUGCAAUGAAAAUCCUGGUAAUAGUAGGAUGUGAUUUUUCUGAGAAUGAAAAAUGUCGUAAGAGCAAGGUUUCCUUGGCAAUAUAUGUUAGCCAAGGGUUAGUCAGUACCUAAGUUGUAUCUUAACUGAGUACAACGAUGGACAACAGGUUAAUAUUCCUGUACUAAUUGAAUUUUAUAUAGUAUUAUUUUGCUUUUGGAUAAGUAAGCACUUGAAAGAGUGUUUUAAUAAAGAAAACUGUCAAGGGUAAUCCUUAGACGCAGAUAUAAUUUAUUAAACAAAAUUACUGAUUCCGAGAGCCAGUGAAAAUGUUAUACUCUUAAUUCAGUUGGCUGUACCCAUAACCAGCACUGGUGCUCUAGCUUAAUAGGCUAAGACAUGAAAGGGAAAACCAAUUAAGGGAAUUCGGCAAGUUAGUUCUGUAGCUUCGGCUGAAGGAAUGUCUAUUUUUGUUUUUUCAGAAAUGUAGAUGCAUUAAUAGAUCACAGUAACAAGGACGGCCCGACUGUUUACCAAAAACGUAGCCAAGUGCUAAUCUGAAAAGACGUGUAUACUUGGUGAGACCUGCCCAGUGGUGGUGUCUAAAACUCCUUUUCAAGGGAGCUAAGGUCCAUCAAACGGCGGAGAUAACUAUGAUCUUCUUAAGGUAGCGCAAUACCCUGUCGUAUGAAUUGCGACUUGCAUGAAUGGUUUAACGAGGUUGUCACUGUCCCUAAUUGGAGCCUUCUGAAUAUACUUCGUGGUGAAAAGGCCACGGACGCCUAGUGGGAAGCUGAGACCUUGUGGAACUUUACUGCAACUUGUUGUUGUAAUCUUAAGAGAAAUGCAUAGCAUAAGUAGGAGCGUCGAAGCUGUUAUUUCGGUGACAGUGGAGCAAACAUGUAAUACUACUCAUUUUUUUUAAGAUUGCUUACUCUAUAUGAAGACAGCAGCAGGCGGGCAGUUUGACUGGGGCGGUGCCCUGCCGAAAAAAUAUCGGUAGGACCCAAAGACAAACUCAUCCAGCUUGGAAAUCUGGAGUUGAGUGUGAGGGCAAAAGUUUGUCUAACUGUAUUUUGAACAGCAAGAAAUGCAGAGGAGAAAUCCGGGCCUAGUGAACCCACGUGCUUUUUUAAUAGAAGCCGUGUCUGAUAGAAAAGUUACCCCAAGGAUAAUAAGCUUGUCGCCCCCGAUAGUCCAUAUUGACGGGGCGGUUUGGUGUUUCGCUGUCGGCUCUCCCUAACCUGCGCGUGCAGAAGCGUGCAAGGGUGUCGGAGUUCACGCAUUAAAAGGGAUCGUUAGCUGGGUUAAGAACGUCGUGAGACAGUUUGUAUGAUAUCUACUAGGUGUGUUAUUGUCUGAGUGGAACAAGUUUUUAGUACGAGAGGAACGAAACCUGGGUGCCUCUGGUGAGCAGUUGUCAAUUGGCAGGCUGCAUAGCUACGCACUAAAUGAAUAAGAGCUGAAUGCAUCUAAGCUCGAAGUCAUCCGCAAAACGAGACAAUUAAAGCCGUCAAAGAAGAUGACGUUGAUAGAGUUGUUGUGUAAGAUUCAAGUUUCUGGUGAGGCGAGAAUUUCAGCAUACAACCACUAAAAGCUUCAAUUGUAGUAUU